GACGUAGGUGGCGAACGGUAUCCGGAAUUAUUGGGCGUAAAGGGUGCGUAGGCGGCAUGAUAAGUUAUUGGCGGCAAAUCGAGGCUCAACCUCGUGGAAACUGAUAAUACUGUCUUGCUUGAGUGCAGAAGAGGUUAACGGAACUCCAUGUGGAGCGGUAAAAUGUGUAGAUAUAUGGAAGAACAUCAAUAACGGCGAAGGCAGUUAACUAUUCUGUUACUGACGUUGAGGCACGAGAGCGUGGGGAGCAAAAAGG
RNAcentral lists this ribosomal RNA (256 nucleotides) under uncultured bacterium. RNAcentral's name for it is "partial 16S ribosomal RNA". It matches the Rfam family "Bacterial small subunit ribosomal RNA", at positions 524 to 776 of the family's 1533-position model. The record is from RNAcentral.